Molecule: ribosomal RNA, 492 nt
Filed under: uncultured bacterium
Lineage: Bacteria
Description: partial 16S ribosomal RNA
Rfam family: Bacterial small subunit ribosomal RNA
Source: RNAcentral
AGUGAACGCUGGCGGUAGGCCUAACACAUGCCAGUCGAACGGCAGCACAGUAAGAGCUUGCUCUUACGGGUGGCGAGUGGCGGACGGGUGAGGAAUACAUCGGAAUCUACUUUUUCGUGGGGGAUAACGUAGGGAAACUUACGCUAAUACCGCAUACGACCUACGGGUGAAAGCAGGGGAUCUUCGGACCUUGCGCGAUUGAAUGAGCCGAUGUCGGGUUAGCUAGUUGGCGGGGUAAAGGCCCACCAAGGCGACGAUCCGUAGCUGGUCUGAGAGGAUGGUCGGCCACACUGGAACUGGGACACGGUCCAGACUCCUACGGGAGGCAGCAGUGGGGAAUAUUGGACAAUGGGCGCAAGCCUGAUCCAGCCAUACCGCGUGGGUGAAGAAGGCCUUCGGGUUGUAAAGACCUUUUGUUGGGAAAGAAAAGCAGCAGGUUAAUACCCCGCUGUUCUGACGGUACCCAAAGAAUAAGCACCGGCUAACUUCGUG